RNAcentral lists this unclassified non-coding RNA (202 nucleotides) under fungal sp. RNAcentral's name for it is "partial internal transcribed spacer region". The stretch from base 1 to 46 matches the Rfam family "Eukaryotic small subunit ribosomal RNA", at positions 1786 to 1831 of the family's 1831-position model. Lineage: Eukaryota; Fungi. The record is from RNAcentral.
AAGUCGUAACAAGGUAUCCGUAGGUGAACCUGCGGAUGGAUCAUUAUUGAUGACUGGAUGAUUGUGAGUGAUUAUGAAUGAGAUGAGAGAGAGGGUUGGUUGGGUUCAACCAGCCAACUCCCUCACCGCUAAACUCUAUAAAUCUAAUACUUAAUAUUAACAACAAAAGAAACAACUUUUAGCAACGGAUCUCUUGGCUCUC